CGGACGUAAAGAACUUGCCUCACAGCUAGGGACAACAUUUAGAAAUGAAUGCUAAUACCUGAUAUUAUGAUUUUAAGGCAUCUUAGAAUUAUGAAAGCUAUAAGCACUGUGAGAGAGCUUUGCGUCCCAUUAGCUAGUUGGAGAGGUAACAGCUCACCAAGGCGAUGAUGGGUAGCCGGCCUGAGAGGGUGAACGGCCACAAGGGGACUGAGACACGGCCCUU
RNAcentral lists this ribosomal RNA (223 nucleotides) under uncultured bacterium. Its description in RNAcentral is "partial 16S ribosomal RNA". It matches the Rfam family "Bacterial small subunit ribosomal RNA", at positions 112 to 334 of the family's 1533-position model. The record is from RNAcentral.